RNAcentral lists this ribosomal RNA (270 nucleotides) under uncultured bacterium. RNAcentral describes it as "partial 16S ribosomal RNA". It matches the Rfam family "Bacterial small subunit ribosomal RNA", at positions 793 to 1055 of the family's 1533-position model. The record is from RNAcentral.
GUCCUAGCUGUAAACGAUGGACACUAGGUGUUGGCUCCGUUCAGGAGUCAGUGCCGCAGGUAACCCGAUAAGUGUCCCACCUGAGGAGUACGGCCGCAAGGUUGAAACUCAAAGGAAUUGACGGGGGCCAGCACAAGCGGUGGAACAUGUGGUUCAAUUCGAUGCUACGCGAAGAACCUUACCCAGGCUUGACAUGCUUGAAGUAGGAACCUGAAAGGGUAACGACUCGUAACCAGUCGAGAACUUGCACAGGUGCUGCAUGGCUGUCGU